This 314-nucleotide ribosomal RNA is filed under the name Facetotecta sp. Its description in RNAcentral is "partial large subunit ribosomal RNA". The record is from RNAcentral. Lineage: Eukaryota; Metazoa; Arthropoda; Thecostraca.
UUGCAAAGGUACAUAAUAAUUAGUUUAUUGAUUGUAAAAUUGUAUGAAUGAAUUAAUAAAAGUAAGAUUGUCUGUAGUUUUAAUUAUAUGAAUUUUAUUUUUUUAUGAAAAAGUUAAAAUUUUUUAACAAGACGAGAAGACCCUAUAAAUCUUUAAUUUUUAUAAAUAAAAAUUUUUAUAAAAAUUUUUAUUGGGGCGAUAGGUGAAAAAAGAACUUCAUUUUUAUGAGAGUUUUAUAUAAAUAAUUGAAUAAUAGAUCCUUUUGUUAAGAUUAAUAAUAUAAGUUACUUUAGGGAUAACAGCGAAAUUGUUUA